Molecule: ribosomal RNA, 249 nt
Filed under: uncultured bacterium
Lineage: Bacteria
Description: partial 16S ribosomal RNA
Rfam family: Bacterial small subunit ribosomal RNA
Source: RNAcentral
ACCUGGCGACAGGGAGCGGAACCCGAAAGCCUGUCUCAGUUCGGAUUGGAGUCUGCAACCCGACUCCAUGAAGCUGGACUCGCUAGUAAUCGCGCAUCAGCCACGGCGCGGUGAAUACGUUCCCGGGCCUUGUACACACCGCCCGUCACACCAUGGGAGUCGGUAACACCCGAAGUCGGUGGUCUAACCGCAAGGAGGACGCCGCCGAAGGUGGGAUUGAUGACUGGGGUGAAGUCGUAACAAGGUAAC